RNAcentral lists this ribosomal RNA (447 nucleotides) under uncultured bacterium. RNAcentral describes it as "bacterial SSU rRNA". It matches the Rfam family "Bacterial small subunit ribosomal RNA", at positions 30 to 506 of the family's 1533-position model. The record is from RNAcentral.
CGAACGCUGGCGGCGUGCCUAAAACAUGCAAGUCGAACGAGGUAGCAAUACCUAGUGGCGAACGGCGGAGUAAUACAUGAACAACGUGCCCUAAAGUCCGGGACAAACGCAGAAAUGUCAUAAAUACCGGAUGUGGUGGAGGGAUGGCAUCAUCAUUCCAUUAAAUGGUUUUUCGCUUUAGGAGCGGCUCAUGGCCUAUCAGGUAGUUGGUGGGGUAAUGGCCUACCAAGCCGACGACAGGUAGCGGGUCUGAGAGGAUGAUCCGCUCGAGUGGGACUGAGACGCGGCCCACACACCUACGGGUGGCAGCAGUUGGGAAUCUUGCACAAUGGGGGAAACCCUGAUGCAGCGACGCCGCGUGGAGGAUGACGGAUCUAGGUCUGUAAACUCCUUUUUCAUGGAAAGACUUAGGACGGUACCAUGAGAAUAAGGACCGGCUAACUACGU